Molecule: ribosomal RNA, 459 nt
Filed under: uncultured bacterium
Lineage: Bacteria
Description: partial 16S ribosomal RNA
Rfam family: Bacterial small subunit ribosomal RNA
Source: RNAcentral
CCUACGGGAGGCAGCAGUGAGGAAUAUUGGUCAAUGGGCGGGAGCCUGAACCAGCCAAGCCGCGUGAGGGAAGAAGGUACAGCGUAUCGUAAACCUCUUUUGUCAGGGAACAAAGGCGGGGACUAGUCCCCGGAUGAGGGUACCUGAAGAAAAAGCAUCGGCUAACUCCGUGCCAGCAGCCGCGGUAAUACGGAGGAUGCGAGCGUUAUCCGGAUUUAUUGGGUUUAAAGGGUGCGCAGGCGGCCUGUUAAGUCAGCGGUAAAAGCCCGGGGCUCAACCCCGGCGAGCCGUUGAAACUGGCGGGCGGGAGUUGGAGAGAGGUACGCGGAAUGCGCGGUGUAGCGGUGAAAUGCUUAGAUAUCACGAAGAACUCCGAUGGCGAAGGCAGCAUACCGGCGCUCAACUGACGCUGAGGCACGAAAGCGUGGGGAUCGAACAGGAUUAGAUACCCCUGUAGUC